UACGUAGGGUGCGAGCGUUAAUCGGAAUUACUGGGCGUAAAGCGUGCGCAGGCGGUUUUGUAAGCCAGAUGUGAAAUCCCCGGGCUCAACCUGGGAAUUGCGAUGAAGACUGCAAGGCUUGAAUCUGGCAGAGGGGGGUAGAAUUCCACGUGUAGCAGUGAAAUGCGUAGAGAUGUGGAGGAACACCGAUGGCGAAGGCAGCCCCCUGGGUCAAGAUUGACGCUCAUGCACGAAAGCGUGGGGAGCAAACAGG
Molecule: ribosomal RNA, 253 nt
Filed under: uncultured bacterium
Lineage: Bacteria
Description: partial 16S ribosomal RNA
Rfam family: Bacterial small subunit ribosomal RNA
Source: RNAcentral